AUGAGCUUUAUAAAGCGUUUCUUGGAGGAUCUGGACAUAGUUCAAAACCAAAAAAUGAUACCAGCGCCGGCGCCGACUGUUAAGAGAGCACGCUCAUGGUUGCCACCUGAUGGUGUAGCGGUGAAGUUUAAUUGUGAUGGAGCUUUGUCCACUCUUGGCGAUAGGGGAGCGGCGGAUGUGAUCUGUCGGGAUAAGUCAGGAAAGUUCCUUGGAGCAUCAGCACUUGUGUUCGAGGGAUUGACCGACCCGGCGAGUUUGGAGGCGCACGCUUGCAGUGAGGCCCUUGCCCUUGCUCGCGACUUGAAUGUGGAGGAUCUGGUGAUCGCGUCCGACUGCCUAGAAGUGGUUACAAAUAUCAACGUACAUGCAUCACCAGUCUCAGGUCUUCCCACCCCGACGGCCAGACCUAGCCACGCACGCCAGUUUCAGUGCGCCGAUGCAGCCGCCGGCCGUCCCAGGUCCCUCCGCCGCUCGGGCCGCUUGCCUGCUCCGCCGCUCGCCCGGUGCCCUGGUCCACCCCUCCGCCACUGCCCUGAUUUCCUGCUGGUCCGCCGCUCGCCUGCUCCGCUCUGCACGCCGGCUCUGCUCCGGCCUCUCCUGGUCACCGCCAUGUCCCGCGGCCCUCCACUCGAGCCGGCGCAGGAACCAGAGCCGGCGUUGCUGGCCGAGUACAGGCGACUGGCGGGGGAGGACGGCGACCCGGAGGACAUGCCGGGCUACCUGACGGCGAUGUGGGAGUCGGAGAACGUCCCGAUGCCGCCGCCCCUCGUCCAGGAGUACAUGCAGGUCGCCCCGGUCGCCGUCCACCCGGAGGACCCGUCGUACUUCCCCAGCUACCACGCCGCAGUGGCCGACUCGAUGGUUGCGCCGACCCUGUUGGUGGUGCCCCUAGACGACGCCAGCAGCAGCGACGACGACGACCGGCUCUACGAUGAGGCGGACUUCGGCGGUGUCAAGGACGAGUAG
RNAcentral lists this ribosomal RNA (966 nucleotides) under Triticum aestivum (bread wheat). RNAcentral's name for it is "partial small subunit ribosomal RNA". Lineage: Eukaryota; Viridiplantae; Streptophyta; Magnoliopsida; Poales; Poaceae. The record is from RNAcentral.